AAGACGAGAUAACUUAAAUGUUGCUCUUACAUUGGUUCUACCUAACGACCUACGCCUUGGGUCUUCGGUCUUGAACUUUUGAGCUCGCCUUGGCUUGUCUAAGCAAUCUCUUCAUCAAUAUGCUUCUUGGCAUCCAAUCUUGAUUGUUUGAUUCAUCAUCAUUGAUUCGUCAACCAUCUCGAUUGUUUGCUAAUGCAUCUUCAUC
RNAcentral lists this long non-coding RNA (205 nucleotides) under Nicotiana benthamiana. RNAcentral describes it as "long non-coding RNA (NBEN_LNC036596)". The record is from RNAcentral. Lineage: Eukaryota; Viridiplantae; Streptophyta; Magnoliopsida; Solanales; Solanaceae.